Molecule: ribosomal RNA, 515 nt
Filed under: uncultured archaeon
Lineage: Archaea
Description: bacterial SSU rRNA
Rfam family: Archaeal small subunit ribosomal RNA
Source: RNAcentral
GAGUGGUGAUCGUGAUUAUUGGGUCUAAAGGGUCCGUAGCCGGUUUGGUCAGUCCUCCGGGAAAUCUGAUAGCUCAACUAUUAGGCUUUCGGGGGAUACUGCCAGACUUGGAACCGGGAGAGGUAAGAGGUACUACAGGGGUAGGAGUGAAAUCUUGUAAUCCCUGUGGGACCACCUGUGGCGAAGGCGUCUUACCAGAACGGGUUCGACGGUGAGGGACGAAAGCUGGGGGCACGAACCGGAUUAGAUACCCGGGUAGUCCCAGCCGUAAACGAUGCUCGCUAGGUGUCAGGCAUGGCGCGACCGUGUCUGGUGCCGCAGGGAAGCCGUGAAGCGAGCCACCUGGGAAGUACGGCCGCAAGGCUGAAACUUAAAGGAAUUGGCGGGGGAGCACAACAACGGGUGGAAGCCUGCGGUUUAAUUGGACUCAACGCCGGACAACUCACCGGGGGCGACAGCAAUAUGUAGGCCAAGCUGAAGACUUUGCCUGAAUCGCUGAGAGAAGAGGUGCAUGG